RNAcentral lists this ribosomal RNA (417 nucleotides) under Spiophanes sp. A VVP-2020. Its description in RNAcentral is "partial 16S ribosomal RNA". It matches the Rfam family "Bacterial large subunit ribosomal RNA", at positions 1956 to 2597 of the family's 2925-position model. Lineage: Eukaryota; Metazoa; Annelida; Polychaeta; Spionida; Spionidae. The record is from RNAcentral.
AUAAUAAUCUGUCUUUUAAUUGGAGGCUUGUAUGAAUGGAUAGACGAGAAUAUAGCUGUCUCUUCCUCAUUAAUAUAAAUUAAUAUUUAAGUGAAGAAGCUUAAAUUGUUUUAAAAGACAAGAAGACCCUGUUGAGCUUUAUAUUGGAGAAAAUUGUUUUAAUUAAAUUAAUAUUGUUUUGUAAAAAUGUUUAGUUGGGGCGACUUGAGAAGAUAUUGAAUCUUCUUAUUUUUAUUGGAUAAUGUAUCUGUUAAAUAUCCACGAAGGUGAAUAGAUAAUUAGUUACCACAGGGAUAACAGGCUAAUCCUUUUUGAGAGUUCAUAUUGAGAAAGGGGUUUGGCACCUCGAUGUUGGCUUAGGAAAACAGCUAGGUGCAGAAGCUUAGCAAAGUGGGUUUGUUCAACCCUUUAUAUCCU